RNAcentral lists this ribosomal RNA (443 nucleotides) under uncultured bacterium. RNAcentral describes it as "partial 16S ribosomal RNA". It matches the Rfam family "Bacterial small subunit ribosomal RNA", at positions 338 to 795 of the family's 1533-position model. The record is from RNAcentral.
CCUACGGGAGGCAGCAGUGGGGAAUAUUGGACAAUGGGGGGAACCCUGAUCCAGCGACGCCGCGUGAGUGAAGAAGUAUUUCGGUAUGUAAAGCUCUAUCAGCAGGGAAGAAAGAAAUGACGGUACCUGACCAAGAAGCCCCGGCUAACUACGUGCCAGCAGCCGCGGUAAUACGUAGGGGGCAAGCGUUAUCCGGAAUUACUGGGUGUAAAGGGAGCGUAGACGGUUAAGUAAGUCUGGAGUGAAAGGCCGGGGCCCAACCCCGGGACUGCUCUGGAAACUGCCUGGCUGGAGUACAGGAGAGGUAAGUGGAAUUCCUAGUGUAGCGGUGAAAUGCGUAGAUAUUAGGAGGAACACCAGUGGCGAGGGCGGUUUACUGGACUGUAACUGACGUUGAGGCUCGAAAGCGUGGGGAGCAAACAGGAUUAGAUACCCGUGUAGUC